UACGUAGGUGGCAAGCGUUGUCCGGAUUUAUUGGGUUUAAAGGGUGCGUAGGCGGCCCUGUAAGUCAGUGCUGAAAUAUCCCAGCUUAACUGGGAGGGUGGCAUUGAUACUGCGGGGCUAGAGUACAGAUGAGGUAGGCGGAAUUGACGGUGUAGCGGUGAAAUGCUUAGAUAUCGUCAAGAACACCUAUAGCGAUGGCAGCUUACUAGGCUGUAACUGACGCUGAGGCACGAAAGUGUGGGGAUCAAACAGG
RNAcentral lists this ribosomal RNA (253 nucleotides) under uncultured bacterium. RNAcentral describes it as "partial 16S ribosomal RNA". It matches the Rfam family "Bacterial small subunit ribosomal RNA", at positions 524 to 776 of the family's 1533-position model. The record is from RNAcentral.